This 253-nucleotide ribosomal RNA is filed under the name uncultured bacterium. RNAcentral describes it as "partial 16S ribosomal RNA". It matches the Rfam family "Bacterial small subunit ribosomal RNA", at positions 524 to 776 of the family's 1533-position model. The record is from RNAcentral.
UACGUAGGUGGCAACCGUUGUCCGGAUUUACUGGGUGUAAAGGGCGUGUAGCCGGGCUGACAAGUCAGAUGUGAAAUUCCGGGGCUCAACCCCGGACCUGCAUUUGAAACUGUUGGUCUUGAGUAUCGGAGAGGCAGGCGGAAUUCCUAGUGUAGCGGUGAAAUGCGUAGAUAUUAGGAGGAACACCAGUGGCGAAGGCGGCCUGCUGGACGACAACUGACGGUGAGGCGCGAAAGCGUGGGGAGCAAACAGG